This is a small nucleolar RNA of Homalodisca vitripennis (glassy-winged sharpshooter), 66 nucleotides long. The record is from RefSeq and is a predicted model, not a curated record. NCBI's taxonomy places the organism in Eukaryota, Metazoa, Arthropoda, Insecta, Hemiptera, Cicadellidae.
CAGCAAUGAUGCUUAUUUGAAUUUCUUCAACCGAAUUUCUUUGUAGAAAAUUGACUCCUGAGCUGA